Austrofundulus limnaeus is the source of this 334-nucleotide long non-coding RNA. RefSeq lists it as uncharacterized. Lineage: Eukaryota; Metazoa; Chordata; Actinopteri; Cyprinodontiformes; Rivulidae. The transcript has 3 exons. The record is from RefSeq and is a predicted model, not a curated record.
AGAGUUUGCUGAAGGAGUGAUGCAUCCUCAGUCCAGCCCGAUGGAGCUCAAAGCUGCAAUGUGCCCAGAAAGUACAGCGUCUCCUCACACAGACAGAACUUUUAAUGAAGCCAGCACAGAGUGGAUGGACCCAGCAUCAACACUUCCUGGUUGAUACCUUCUCAGGGUAAUUAGUCCGCCCUAAUUAGGUGGAAACCUGCUUCUUCACAGAAGAAACAAUUCCAGGUGUGGCUCAUUACCCCUCGUUAGCUUCUCGUUAUAUUUGGUGUCGUGGCUUGUCUCCCCUGUUGGAUUGUUGUGGUUUUUAGUUUGUCUCCUGUGUUUCUGUGGUUUU